RNAcentral lists this non-coding RNA (962 nucleotides) under Prevotellaceae bacterium HUN156. RNAcentral describes it as "Bacterial small subunit ribosomal RNA". It matches the Rfam family "Bacterial small subunit ribosomal RNA", at positions 559 to 1533 of the family's 1533-position model. Lineage: Bacteria; Pseudomonadati; Bacteroidota; Bacteroidia; Bacteroidales; Prevotellaceae. The record is from Rfam by way of RNAcentral.
UUUAAAGGGAGCGCAGGCGGGAUUUUAAGCGUGUUGUGAAAUGUAACGGCUCAACCGUUGAAUUGCAGCGCGAACUGGAGUCCUUGAGUGAGUACGACGUCAGCGGAAUUCGUGGUGUAGCGGUGAAAUGCUUAGAUAUCACGAAGAACUCCGAUUGCGAAGGCAGCUGACGAGUCCUUAACUGACGCUAAAGCUCGAAAGUGCGGGUAUCGAACAGGAUUAGAUACCCUGGUAGUCCGCACGGUAAACGAUGGAUGCCCGCUGUUGGCGAUAUACAGUCAGCGGCCAAGCGAAAGCGUUAAGCAUCCCACCUGGGGAGUACGCCGGCAACGGUGAAACUCAAAGGAAUUGACGGGGGCCCGCACAAGCGGAGGAACAUGUGGUUUAAUUCGAUGAUACGCGAGGAACCUUACCCGGGCUUGAACUGCAGGGGAACGAUCCAGAGAUGGUGAGGUCAGCAAUGACUCCUGUGGAGGUGCUGCAUGGUUGUCGUCAGCUCGUGCCGUGAGGUGUCGGCUUAAGUGCCAUAACGAGCGCAACCCUUUUCUCUAGUUGCCAUCAGGUAGAGCUGGGCACUCUGGAGACACUGCCACCGUAAGGUGUGAGGAAGGUGGGGAUGACGUCAAAUCAGCACGGCCCUUACGUCCGGGGCUACACACGUGUUACAAUGGGUGAUACAGAGAGUUAGUCGUUCGCAAGAACGGUUUAAUCAAGAAAGUCAUCCUCAGUUCGGAUUGGGGUCUGCAACCCGACCCCAUGAAGCUGGAUUCGCUAGUAAUCGCGCAUCAGCCAUGGCGCGGUGAAUACGUUCCCGGGCCUUGUACACACCGCCCGUCAAGCCAUGAAAGCUGGGGGCGCUUGAAGUCCGUGACCGCAAGGAUCGGCCUAGAGCGAAACCGGUAAUUGGGGCUAAGUCGUAACAAGGUAGCCGUACCGGAAGGUGCGGCUGGAACACCUCCUUU